UACGUAGGGUGCAAGCGUUGUCCGGAAUCAUUGGGCGUAAAGAGCGCGUAGGCGGCCCAGUAAGUCCGCUCUGAAAGUCAGGGGCUCAACCCCUGGAUGCGGGUGGAUACUGCCGGGCUAGAGUCCGGAAGAGGCGAGUGGAAUUCCUGGUGUAGCGGUGAAAUGCGCAGAUAUCAGGAGGAACACCGAUGGCGAAGGCAGGUCUCUGGGCCACUACUGACGCUGAGAAGCGAAAGCAUGGGGAGCGAACAGG
Molecule: ribosomal RNA, 253 nt
Filed under: uncultured bacterium
Lineage: Bacteria
Description: partial 16S ribosomal RNA
Rfam family: Bacterial small subunit ribosomal RNA
Source: RNAcentral